GACGAACGCUGGCGGCGCGCUUAACACAUGCAAGUCGAGCGAGAACCAGGGGCUUCGGCUCUGGGGGACAGCGGCGAACGGGUGAGUAACACGUGAGUAAUCUGCCCUCGACACUGGGAUAGCCCGGGGAAACCCGGAUUAAUACCGGAUAGCCUUUCGAGCUCUCGGGCUCGUCAGAAAAGGNUGGCUUCGGGCUUUCGGUUGAGGAUGAGCUUGCGGCGGAUUAGCUUGUUGGUGAGGAACGGCUCACCAAGGCGACAAUCCGUAGCUGGUCUGAGAGGACGGAUCAGCCACACUGGGACUGAGACACGGCCCAGACUCCUACGGGAGGC
This 332-nucleotide ribosomal RNA is filed under the name uncultured bacterium. RNAcentral's name for it is "bacterial SSU rRNA". It matches the Rfam family "Bacterial small subunit ribosomal RNA", at positions 28 to 349 of the family's 1533-position model. The record is from RNAcentral.